Xyrichtys novacula (pearly razorfish) is the source of this 448-nucleotide non-coding RNA. NCBI's taxonomy places the organism in Eukaryota, Metazoa, Chordata, Actinopteri, Labriformes, Labridae. The record is from the annotation of a GenBank genome assembly.
ACAUUUUACCAGGUAAUUAACAGGUAAUUACCUAGUAACUACAUGAAAUUAUCUGGUAAUUACAUGAUAACUACUAAGUCAAUACUGUCUAGCUACCAGGUAGGUAACCUUCCAUCAUCAUACAAAUUUGAAGCCGAAUUGCUCUGGUAUUUCCAGGAUUUUCUCCGCUUCCUGGAACCACCACUUGCGCAGUAGCAUUGUACGCAUUCGGCGGGUGAGUCGCUGUGAUAAUGCUCGGCUCAAACAGCGUAUCGCUACGCAAUCUUCGCACACCCAUAGGCUGUAUCAAGUGUCAAUCAUAGAAAAUAAGAACCCCAAAUAGCUUUUGAAAUUGGAGCUGCACAGAAAAAAAGAAAAACUAGACAGUAUUGACUUAGUAGUUAUCAUGUAAUUACCAGAUAAUUUCAUGUUGUUACUAGGUAAUUACCUGUUAAUUACCUGGUAAUAA